CGUGUAGGCGGUUUGGUAAGUCGGCUGUGAAAGACCCACGGCUCACCCGGGGGAACUCGGUCGAUACUGCCAGACUUGAGUGUGGGAGAGGAGAGUGGAAUUCCAGGUGUAGCGGUGAAAUGCGUAGAUAUCUGGAGGAACACCGGUGGCGAAGGCGGCUCUCUGGCCCGCAACUGACGCUGAGACGCGAAAGCGUGGGGAGCGAACG
Molecule: ribosomal RNA, 208 nt
Filed under: uncultured bacterium
Lineage: Bacteria
Description: partial 16S ribosomal RNA
Rfam family: Bacterial small subunit ribosomal RNA
Source: RNAcentral